RNAcentral lists this ribosomal RNA (301 nucleotides) under uncultured bacterium. RNAcentral's name for it is "partial 16S ribosomal RNA". It matches the Rfam family "Bacterial small subunit ribosomal RNA", at positions 509 to 808 of the family's 1533-position model. The record is from RNAcentral.
CAGUCGCCGCGGUAACACGUAGGUCCCGAGCGUUGUCCGGAUUUAUUGGGCGUAAAGCGAGCGCAGGCGGUUAGAUAAGUCUGAAGUUAAAGGCUGUGGCUUAACCAUAGUACGCUUUGGAAACUGUUUAACUUGAGUGCAAGAGGGGAGAGUGGAAUUCCAUGUGUAGCGGUGAAAUGCGUAGAUAUAUGGAGGAACACCGGUGGCGAAAGCGGCUCUCUGGUCUGUCACUGACGCUGAGGCUCGAAAGCGUGGGUAGCGAACAGGAUUAGAUACCCCCGUAGUCCCUGUCUCUUAUACC